GGGGAUAUGGCGAAAUCGGUAGACGCUACGGACU
This 34-nucleotide transfer RNA is filed under the name Coffea arabica (coffee). Its description in RNAcentral is "partial tRNA-Leu". The record is from RNAcentral. Lineage: Eukaryota; Viridiplantae; Streptophyta; Magnoliopsida; Gentianales; Rubiaceae.